This 483-nucleotide ribosomal RNA is filed under the name Stenotrophomonas pavanii. Its description in RNAcentral is "bacterial SSU rRNA". It matches the Rfam family "Bacterial small subunit ribosomal RNA", at positions 39 to 490 of the family's 1533-position model. The record is from RNAcentral. Lineage: Bacteria; Pseudomonadati; Pseudomonadota; Gammaproteobacteria; Lysobacterales; Lysobacteraceae.
UGCUUAAUCCAUGCAACGCGAAGUCUUUUCCUGGCCAUGCAUGUCGAACGGCAGCACAGGAGAGCUUGCUCUCUGGGUGGCGAGUGGCGGACGGGUGAGGAAUACAUCGGAAUCUACUCUGUCGUGGGGGAUAACGUAGGGAAACUUACGCUAAUACCGCAUACGACCUACGGGUGAAAGCAGGGGACCUUCGGGCCUUGCGCGAUUGAAUGAGCCGAUGUCGGAUUAGCUAGUUGGCGGGGUAAAGGCCCACCAAGGCGACGAUCCGUAGCUGGUCUGAGAGGAUGAUCAGCCACACUGGAACUGAGACACGGUCCACACUCCUACAGGAGGCAGCAGUGGGGAAUAUUGGACAAUGGGCGCAAGCCUGAUCCAGCCAUACCGCGUGGGUGAAAAGGGCCUUCGGGUUGUAAAGCCCUUUUGUUGGGAAAGAAAUCCAGCUGGCUAAUACCCGGUUGGGAUGACUGGUACCCAACCAACAAA